RNAcentral lists this non-coding RNA (95 nucleotides) under Paramoeba aestuarina. The record is from RNAcentral. Lineage: Eukaryota; Discosea; Flabellinia; Dactylopodida; Paramoebidae.
UUCUUCCCCUCCUUCUUCCCCUCCUUCUUCCCCAACUUGGAGACCAACUUCCCCUUCUGGGAAGACCUCACAGAAAAAUCCUUUCUCGUCUCUUC